GAUGAACGCUGGCGGCGUGCCUAAUACAUGCAAGUCGAGCGAACGGACGAGAAGCUUGCUUCUCUGAUGUUAGCGGCGGACGGGUGAGUAACACGUGGAUAACCUACCUAUAAGACUGGGAUAACUUCGGGAAAACGGAGAUAAUACUGGAUGAUAUUUUGUACCGCAUGGUUCAAAAGUGAAAGACGGUCUUGCUGUCACUUAUAGAUGGAUCCGCGCUGCAUUAGCUAGUUGGUAAGGUAACGGCUUACCAAGGCAACGAUGCAUAGCCGACCUGAGAGGGUGAUCGGCCACACUGGAACUGAGACACGGUCCAGACUCCUACGGGAGGCAGCAGUAGGGAAUCUUCCGCAAUGGGCGAAAGCCUGACGGAGCAACGCCGCGUGAGUGAUGAAGGUCUUCGGAUCGUAAAGCUCUGUUAUUAGGGAAGAACAUAUGUGUAAGUAACUGUGCACAUCUUGACGGUACCUAAUCAGAAAGCCACGGCUAACUACGUG
This 497-nucleotide ribosomal RNA is filed under the name uncultured bacterium. RNAcentral describes it as "partial 16S ribosomal RNA". It matches the Rfam family "Bacterial small subunit ribosomal RNA", at positions 28 to 507 of the family's 1533-position model. The record is from RNAcentral.